GCUAACUAGCCAGGUAGGAAUGGAUGGUGCUCACAAAUGCAACCAAGCCAGCUGGUUGUCUGUGAGGUUAGGAGGUCGUGAAAGAGUUCUAAGAACACCAAGUAAUGAGGAUUCGACUGGGCAGCUAUUUGCUCGGUGCGUGGCCAUGCAGGAAUUCAACAGACGUCCAUCUCCUUUCUUUUUAUUGGUGUCAUACUGAUCCUUAAGACCAGAAGCCAGUAGAAGAAACACUGUAUGUAGUACAGAGACUCUAACACAGAAGUGGUAGGGCUAUGGUCUAAAAUCCGUCUCCAACUUCCGAGAACCCUAUUCCAGGCAAGAAGCAACAGACUGAUGAAAAUAAACGUCUAGAAGAGGAAUUAUCAUCUUACCUGAAACAGCAUAAGACACGGAGCCAAGAACUCAGGUUCAUCCUCACUCUGUCGGUGCAGUCCGGUAACCCCAGCACUCAUGAGGUGGAGGUCUGAGCAUCAGGAGUUCGAGGCCAGCGUGGGAUCCCUCCAAAACCAAACAACAACAAAAUGAAUAAAUCUAAUUCUGCAUAAGCCAUACUAA
Grammomys surdaster is the source of this 555-nucleotide long non-coding RNA. RefSeq lists it as uncharacterized. Lineage: Eukaryota; Metazoa; Chordata; Mammalia; Rodentia; Muridae. The transcript has 2 exons. The record is from RefSeq and is a predicted model, not a curated record.